This 174-nucleotide ribosomal RNA is filed under the name Barbitistes serricauda. Its description in RNAcentral is "5.8S ribosomal RNA". The stretch from base 10 to 164 matches the Rfam family "5.8S ribosomal RNA". Rfam says of the family: 5.8S ribosomal RNA (5.8S rRNA) is a component of the large subunit of the eukaryotic ribosome. It is transcribed by RNA polymerase I as part of the 45S precursor that also contains 18S and 28S rRNA. Lineage: Eukaryota; Metazoa; Arthropoda; Insecta; Orthoptera; Tettigoniidae. RNAcentral also lists the same sequence under 1 other name. The record is from RNAcentral.
UGAAAGUACAACCCUGAACGGUGGAUCACUCGGCUCGUGGGUCGAUGAAGAACGCAGCAAAUUGCGCGUCGACAUGUGAACUGCAGGACACAUGAACAUCGACAUUUCGAACGCACAUUGCGGUCCAUGGAUUCCGUUCCCGGACCACGCCUGGCUGAGGGUCGGUAGCUAAAA